AGUGAACGCUGGCGGUAGGCCUAGCACAUGCAAGUCGAACGGCAGCACAGGAGAGCUUGCUCUCUGGGUGGCGAGUGGCGGACGGGUGAGGAAUACAUCGGAAUCUACUUUUUCGUGGGGGAUAACGUAGGGAAACUUACGCUAAUACCGCGUACGACCUACGGGUGAAAGCAGGGGACCUUCGGGCCUUGCGCGAUUGAAUGAGCCGAUGUCGGAUUAGCUAGUUGGCGGGGUAAAGGCCCACCAAGGCGACGAUCCGUAGCUGGUCUGAGAGGAUGAUCAGCCACACUGGAACUGAGACACGGUCCAGACUCCUACGGGAGGCAGCAGUGGGGAAUAUUGGACAAUGGGCGCAAGCCUGAUCCAGCCAUACAGCGUGGGUGAAGAAGGCCUUCGGGUUGUAAAGCCCUUUUGUUGGGAAAGAAAUCCAGCUGGCUAGUACCCGGUUGGGAUGACGGUACCCAAAGAAUAAGCACCGGCUAACUUCGUGCCAGCCGCCGCCGUAA
RNAcentral lists this ribosomal RNA (506 nucleotides) under uncultured bacterium. RNAcentral's name for it is "partial 16S ribosomal RNA". It matches the Rfam family "Bacterial small subunit ribosomal RNA", at positions 29 to 523 of the family's 1533-position model. The record is from RNAcentral.